AAAUUAGAGUUGGAGCAGGCGACCUUAAUGACGUUUUAAGGUGCAGCCGGGCUGGGCUUCUGGCAACGGUACUUUGAGACCGCGGGACUAUG
This 92-nucleotide non-coding RNA is filed under the name Dehalococcoidia bacterium. RNAcentral describes it as "NiCo sequence". It matches the Rfam family "NiCo (Nickel/Cobalt) riboswitch aptamer". The record is from RNAcentral. Lineage: Bacteria; Bacillati; Chloroflexota; Dehalococcoidia.